CCCUUACGGAAACUAAGGGGGUGGCUUCCAUCUGGAAGAAUCUGGAGACAGGUGCUGCAUGGCUGUCGUCAGCUCGUGUCGUGAGAUGUUGGGUUAAGUCCCGCAACGAGCGCAACCCUUGCCUUUAGUUGCCAGCAGUUCGGCUGGGCACUCUAAAGGGACUGCCGGUGUUAAACCGGAGGAAGUGGGGAUGACGUCAAGUCCUCAUGGCCUUUAUGACCAGGGCUACACACGUACUACAAUGGCCGAUACAAAGGGCAGCGACACUGCGAGGUGAAGCCAAUCCCGUAAAAUCGGUCUCAGUCCGGAUUGGAGUCUGCAACUCGACUCCAUGAAGUUGGAAUCGCUAGUAAUCGUGGAUCAGCAUGCCACGGUGAAUACGUUCCCGGGCCUU
Molecule: ribosomal RNA, 394 nt
Filed under: uncultured Desulfobulbus sp.
Lineage: Bacteria; Pseudomonadati; Thermodesulfobacteriota; Desulfobulbia; Desulfobulbales; Desulfobulbaceae
Description: bacterial SSU rRNA
Rfam family: Bacterial small subunit ribosomal RNA
Source: RNAcentral